GACGGAAGGUGCAAGCGUUGCUCGGAAUCACUGGGCGUAAAGGGUGCGUAGGCGGCUUGGUGGGUCUGGUGUGAAAGCCCCGGGCUCAGCCCGGGAAGGGCGCUAGAAACUGCCGAGCUCGAGUGCCGGAGGGGAGAGUGGAAUUCCUGGUGUAGCGGUGAAAUGCGUAGAUAUCAGGAGGAAUACCGAUGGCGAAGGCAGGUCUCUGGGCUGACACUGACGCUCAUGCACGAAAGCGUGGGGAGCAAACAGG
This 253-nucleotide ribosomal RNA is filed under the name uncultured bacterium. RNAcentral describes it as "partial 16S ribosomal RNA". It matches the Rfam family "Bacterial small subunit ribosomal RNA", at positions 524 to 776 of the family's 1533-position model. The record is from RNAcentral.